GGGGUUGUGGCUCAGUGGUAGAGCACUUGCUUAGCAUGCAUGAGGCACUGGGUUCAAGUCUCAGCACUGCA
Molecule: transfer RNA, 71 nt
Filed under: Marmota monax (woodchuck)
Lineage: Eukaryota; Metazoa; Chordata; Mammalia; Rodentia; Sciuridae
Description: tRNA.Ala
Rfam family: tRNA (bases 6-66)
About the family: Transfer RNA (tRNA) molecules are approximately 80 nucleotides in length. Their secondary structure includes four short double-helical elements and three loops (D, anti-codon, and T loops).
Source: RNAcentral